Pelobates cultripes (western spadefoot toad) is the source of this 181-nucleotide non-coding RNA. NCBI's taxonomy places the organism in Eukaryota, Metazoa, Chordata, Amphibia, Anura, Pelobatidae. The record is from the annotation of a GenBank genome assembly.
GCUGACACAUCCCGGCCAAUCUCCAGCAGACCCUCCCUCCCAGACCCUCCCACCUCCUGGACAGCAUCCAUGUUGAAGGAACCUCCUGGACAGCAUCCAUGUUGAAGGAACAUGGAUGCUGUCCAGGAGUUGGGAGGGUCUGGGAGGGAGGGUCUGCUGGAGAUUGGCCGGGAUGUGUCAG